This is a long non-coding RNA of Eptesicus fuscus (big brown bat), 279 nucleotides long. RefSeq lists it as uncharacterized. The transcript has 3 exons. The record is from RefSeq and is a predicted model, not a curated record. Lineage: Eukaryota; Metazoa; Chordata; Mammalia; Chiroptera; Vespertilionidae.
CCCACGCCCACACUCCGCGGUGAUGGGGCAAAUCCAGGGCGAGCAGCUUUGGUUUGCCCAACAAAGGUAUUGAACUAGCUUCUGGUCCUCGUGGCUCCCAUGUGGCCCCAGUCCUGCCCUCUGAAGUAGCAGAGCCCACAUACCAGAUGUUACAGAACCUCCCUACCUUUGCUGCCCAUCUCUGCAAACAGAUGACUAGAAUGAGACUCCAGGAGACUUCCUUGAUCAGGCUGGAAGACGACCCCACUCUGGCUCUCUCAUGUCAGUGGCCACCUCUCA